UAAUAGCGUAUAUUAAAGUUGUUGCAGUUAAAAAGCUCGUAGUCGGAUGUCGGGCUCGGGGAGGCUGUCGGCCUUUGGUCGGACGGCAUGUCCGGGCCUUUCUGCCUGGGGAUCCUAUUCUACUUAACUGUAGGGUAGUGGGACGCAGGCCGUUUACUUUGAAAAAAUUAGAGUGUUCAAAGCAGGCCUACGCUUGAAUACAUUAGCAUGGAAUAAUGGAAUAGGACUUUGGUCUUAUUUGUUGGUUUAUGGGACCGAAGUAAUGAUUAACAGGGACAGUUGGGGCCGUUUAUAUUUCGUUGUCAGAGGUGAAAUUCUUGGAUUUACGAAAGAUAAACUUCUGCGAAAGCAUUCGGCAAGGAUGUUUUCAUUGA
This 374-nucleotide ribosomal RNA is filed under the name uncultured eukaryote. RNAcentral describes it as "partial 18S ribosomal RNA". It matches the Rfam family "Eukaryotic small subunit ribosomal RNA", at positions 592 to 976 of the family's 1831-position model. The record is from RNAcentral.